This is a long non-coding RNA of Ictalurus punctatus (channel catfish), 877 nucleotides long. RefSeq lists it as uncharacterized. The record is from RefSeq and is a predicted model, not a curated record. The transcript has 4 exons. NCBI's taxonomy places the organism in Eukaryota, Metazoa, Chordata, Actinopteri, Siluriformes, Ictaluridae.
CAACCGUUAGCACUUGCGCCGUUCAUCUCGACAGAGCUACAUCCGUGCAAGACGCUUUCUCUCCGCCAAGGAAGAGACGGACGAGCUGUGAUCGUCCUGAGUCCUUUUAAUAGAGAGUUGGACUCAAGACGCUGAGGGACAAACAGAGGUUACAAGGACAAGAACCGACUGCACUAGGCAGUCUAUUAAACUCUGCCAAAUGACUGCAGAAAGAGAGAAGUCCAGUCAAGAUGACCAUUAAAUAUGACUACAGCCACAGAGUUCACAGAGGACACCAGGACACCCAAGACUACAGAAAUCUACAUCCAUCCAUCCAUCCAUUUUCCAUGCCACUUAUCCGAAACAGGGUCACGGGGAGCCUGGAGCCUAUCCCAAGGGACUUGGGGCAUAAGGGGGAAGAAAUUGGAGAACCUGGAGGAAACCCCCAAAUCACAUGGAGAACAUGCAGGCUCCGUGCACACAAGGAAGAGGUGGGAUUUAAGCUGCCUAGAGGUGUGAGACAAGCAUGCUAACCACUAAGCCACUGUGCCAAAUUAUUGAAGAUGUUGAUAUAUAUACUGCCAGUCCAUAUUGUAUUUGGAAACAUAAAAUUAAAUAUAUCUGUAAUUGGUUCACUUCCAGACUGCCCAUUGAAAAACACGAAAGAAUUCAUAAAGUCAGUAUAAUGUAUUGUAUAUACUAUACUAGCUGUAUAUAAUAGCUCUUAAAAAUAUUACAUUUUAAAAUUGAACAAACAGUGAUUUUAAGAAGUCAUACAUGGGUAUUCCGGGGGUUGCUUACACAUAAAAACAUCUGACCCCAUGGAGGGCAAUUCGGUUUUAGGGACCGAGCAGUAUACCACCAUCAAAUGCCAUGUGUGUAUGAAUCCCCAGAUACA